UGACUAUUGUGCAUAACUCAAUUUGAAAAUAUUAUUUUAAUUUCACGAUUCUGAGAAUUAUUUAUACAUUGUCUUUAACAAAUAUGAUGAUAAAUUGAUACAAUCAAUUUCUAGGUCUUGCAUGAUGUGUAGAAUUUGAUUUUAUAUGUAUCUAGAAUUGUCAUUGAUUUUCGAACCAAUAAUUUUGCCAAAUUGAGUAUCCUUGAAAUUGAUCUUUCAAAUUUAUUUAUGAAUUUUUCUUUGAAGUUAUUGGGAAUGAAAAUUGGUUAUUUUUGUUGAUUUAUCAUUGUGGACUGUUAUAUAUUUUUUCUGGAAUUUUUGGAGCUUAUCUGAAUUUUUUUAAAAAAUUUUGGUCUCUGAGACCGGUCCCAGGCAGAAGAGACCGGUCCCUCCGCCCGACCCAAUAAAGGGGUUUUUGCUCGUGUGUCUU
RNAcentral lists this long non-coding RNA (430 nucleotides) under Ananas comosus (pineapple). RNAcentral's name for it is "long non-coding RNA (ACOM_LNC039179)". The record is from RNAcentral. Lineage: Eukaryota; Viridiplantae; Streptophyta; Magnoliopsida; Poales; Bromeliaceae.